This 639-nucleotide unclassified non-coding RNA is filed under the name Hevea brasiliensis (rubber tree). Lineage: Eukaryota; Viridiplantae; Streptophyta; Magnoliopsida; Malpighiales; Euphorbiaceae. The record is from RNAcentral.
UGGAAGCGUUGGGUAUGGUGAGGUCAGUUUUACUUUUAAUUUUUUUAAUUAUUGUCCAGCUAUUUGCCUCCUACUCUUUUCUCCUCAUUCCUCUUUAACUCCACUGGCAAUAUUGAAUCUUUAUGCAUAGCAUUCCUGAAAGAUAGUAUUUCUGAUGCCCGACUGUGCUUCCUUCCUUGUCACUGUUAUUUACCAUGAAUUACUUUGAACGGUGAAAUUUCAUUCUGCAUUGCAAAAUAUGUAGGAUUUGAGUUUCAUAUGUAUAGUAUCUUGUAUGAUAUCUUCUCAUUUACUAGGAAUCUUUGAGUAAAUAUAUAAAUGCUUAGCAGUGUGGGACUCCAUGUCACCAUUCUAUGGUUGGGGGUAAUGGAACUAUCUUAAAUGCAGAUGGGUUAAGUGCAAUCACUUUAGUGUUAAUCUAUGAUUUUCAGUUUACUGUGCCCCCAUAUGAUACCAAGAAGGUAGGUUAUUUUUGUUGGAAGUAUUUUCUUAUUUUGGUGGCAAAAAAAUUUUAAAAGAGUUUUCUAGUGUACAAGGCCUCCUGCAUAAGGCCCUGGCAGUGAAAUAUGUAAACCGGAAAAAAAAAUAUAUAUACAGGUUCCUACUUAAACAAGUGGGAUUGCCAUGCAGUACAGUUAG